AAAGAAACUACCAGGAUUCCCUUAGUAACGGCGAGUGAAGCGGGAACGGCUCAAAUUUGAAAUCUGGCGGCCGCGGCCGUCCGAGUUGUAAUCUGGAGAAGCGUUUUCAGCGCCGGCCCGCGUACAAGUCCCCUGGAACGGGGCGUCGCAGAGGGUGAGAAUCCCGUCUCUGACGCGGUUCGUGCCGGCGCGUUGCGAUGCGCUCUCGAAGAGUCGAGUUGUUUGGGAAUGCAGCUCAAAACGGGUGGUAAAUUCCAUCUAAAGCUAAAUACUGGCGAAAGACCGAUAGCGAACAAGUACCGUGAGGGAAAGAUGAAAAGCACUUUGGAAAGAGAGUCAAACAGUACGUGAAAUUGUUGAAAGGGAAACGCUUGAAGUCAGUCGCGUCUCUCGGGACUCGGUCGCCACCCCUCGCGGGGAGGGCGGCGUACUUCCCGGGUAUGGACGGGCCAGCGUCGAUUUCGACCGUCGUACAAAGGCGCGAGGAACGUGGCACCUUCGGGUGUGUUAUAGCCUCGCGUUUCGUAUGCGACGGUGGGGAUCGAGGGUCGCAGCGCGCCUCUAACGGUCGGGGUUCGCCCACGUAACGCGCUUGGGACGCUUGGCUUAAUGGCUUCAA
Molecule: ribosomal RNA, 619 nt
Filed under: Dictyophora duplicata
Lineage: Eukaryota; Fungi; Basidiomycota; Agaricomycetes; Phallales; Phallaceae
Description: eukaryotic LSU rRNA
Rfam family: Eukaryotic large subunit ribosomal RNA
Source: RNAcentral